RNAcentral lists this ribosomal RNA (500 nucleotides) under uncultured bacterium. RNAcentral's name for it is "bacterial SSU rRNA". It matches the Rfam family "Bacterial small subunit ribosomal RNA", at positions 10 to 507 of the family's 1533-position model. The record is from RNAcentral.
AGUUUGAUCCUGGCUCAGAUUGAACGCUGGCGGUAGGCCUAACACAUGCAAGUCGAACGCGAAAGUCCUUCGGGAUGAGUAGAGUGGCGGACGGGUGAGUAACGCGUAGGAAUCUAUCCUGUAGUGGGGGAUAACGUUUCGAAAGGAACGCUAAUACCGCAUACGCCCCACGGGGGGAAAGCGGGGGAUCUUCGGACCUCGUGCUAUAGGAGGAGCCUGCGUCGGAUUAGCUGGUUGGUGAGGUAAAGGCUCACCAAGGCGACGAUCCGUAGCUGGUCUGAGAGGAUGAUCAGCCACACCGGAACUGAGACACGGUCCGGACUCCUACGGGAGGCAGCAGUGGGGAAUAUUGCGCAAUGGGCGAAAGCCUGACGCAGCCAUACCGCGUGUGUGAAGAAGGCCUUCGGGUUGUAAAGCACUUUCAGUGGGGAGGAAAAGCUGGUGGCUAAUAUCCAUCGGCCGUGACGCUACCCACAGAAGAAGCACCGGCUAAUUCCGUG